RNAcentral lists this ribosomal RNA (578 nucleotides) under Shigella sonnei. Its description in RNAcentral is "partial 23S ribosomal RNA". It matches the Rfam family "Bacterial large subunit ribosomal RNA", at positions 474 to 1052 of the family's 2925-position model. Lineage: Bacteria; Pseudomonadati; Pseudomonadota; Gammaproteobacteria; Enterobacterales; Enterobacteriaceae. The record is from RNAcentral.
UCCUGACUGACCGAUAGUGAACCAGUACCGUGAGGGAAAGGCGAAAAGAACCCCGGCGAGGGGAGUGAAAAAGAACCUGAAACCGUGUACGUACAAGCAGUGGGAGCACGCUUAGGCGUGUGACUGCGUACCUUUUGUAUAAUGGGUCAGCGACUUAUAUUCUGUAGCAAGGUUAACCGAAUAGGGGAGCCGAAGGGAAACCGAGUCUUAACUGGGCGUUAAGUUGCAGGGUAUAGACCCGAAACCCGGUGAUCUAGCCAUGGGCAGGUUGAAGGUUGGGUAACACUAACUGGAGGACCGAACCGACUAAUGUUGAAAAAUUAGCGGAUGACUUGUGGCUGGGGGUGAAAGGCCAAUCAAACCGGGAGAUAGCUGGUUCUCCCCGAAAGCUAUUUAGGUAGCGCCUCGUGAAUUCAUCUCCGGGGGUAGAGCACUGUUUCGGCAAGGGGGUCAUCCCGACUUACCAACCCGAUGCAAACUGCGAAUACCGGAGAAUGUUAUCACGGGAGACACACGGCGGGUGCUAACGUCCGUCGUGAAGAGGGAAACAACCCAGACCGCCAGCUAAGGUCCCAAAG